AUCUUGGUGGUGAAAUGGUAAACAUGCGAGACUCAAAAUCUUAUGCUACAGAGCAUGGAGGUUCGAGUCCUCUUAAUAUU
This 80-nucleotide transfer RNA is filed under the name Solanum lycopersicum (tomato). It matches the Rfam family "tRNA". Rfam says of the family: Transfer RNA (tRNA) molecules are approximately 80 nucleotides in length. Their secondary structure includes four short double-helical elements and three loops (D, anti-codon, and T loops). Further hydrogen bonds mediate the characteristic L-shaped molecular structure. tRNAs have two regions of fundamental functional importance: the anti-codon, which is responsible for specific mRNA codon recognition, and the 3' end, to which the tRNAs corresponding amino acid is attached (by aminoacyl-tRNA synthetases). tRNAs cope with the degeneracy of the genetic code in two manners: having more than one tRNA (with a specific anti-codon) for a particular amino acid; and 'wobble' base-pairing, i.e. permitting non-standard base-pairing at the 3rd anti-codon position. The record is from Rfam by way of RNAcentral. Lineage: Eukaryota; Viridiplantae; Streptophyta; Magnoliopsida; Solanales; Solanaceae.